RNAcentral lists this ribosomal RNA (484 nucleotides) under uncultured bacterium. RNAcentral describes it as "partial 16S ribosomal RNA". It matches the Rfam family "Bacterial small subunit ribosomal RNA", at positions 30 to 507 of the family's 1533-position model. The record is from RNAcentral.
AUUGAACGCUGGCGGCAUGCCUUACACAUGCAAGUCGAACGGCAGCGCGGGAGCAAUCCUGGCGGCGAGUGGCGAACGGGUGAGUAAUACAUCGGAACGUGCCCAAUCGUGGGGGAUAACGCAGCGAAAGCUGUGCUAAUACCGCAUACGAUCUACGGAUGAAAGCAGGGGAUCGCAAGACCUUGCGCGAAUGGAGCGGCCGAUGGCGGAUUAGGUAGUUGGUGAGGUAAAGGCUCACCAAGCCUCCGAUCUGUAGCUGGUCUGAGAGGACGACCAGCCACACUGGGACUGAGACACGGCCCAGACUCCUACGGGAGGCAGCAGUGGGGAAUUUUGGACAAUGGGCGAAAGCCUGAUCCAGCCAUGCCGCGUGCAGGAUGAAGGCCUUCGGGUUGUAAACUGCUUUUGUACGGAACGAAACGGUCUUGUCUAAUAAAGAAGGGUAAUGACGGUACCGUAAGAAUAAGCACCGGCUAACUACGUG